Molecule: long non-coding RNA, 12990 nt
Filed under: Triticum aestivum (bread wheat)
Lineage: Eukaryota; Viridiplantae; Streptophyta; Magnoliopsida; Poales; Poaceae
Description: long non-coding RNA (TAES_LNC005264)
Source: RNAcentral
UUUUUUCCUUUUCUUUGUGUGGUUCGUGGUUGUAUUCUCUGUAAUCCUGGCCGGUUGAUGGCUUUGUUAAUUCAAAGCCGGGCUCUCCUUGAGCCUUCGUUCCAAAAGACCAAACUAUUUUGCUCCCUGGGUUCCAUGAGAGAUAAGAUUUUCUUGUAUUGACUCGUAGCCCAAGGGGCAUAUUAUAAUACAUGAGGAAACACACAACAUCCGGGUAUCACCCUCAUACACAUGGAUGCUACCAUCACUACCUCUAACACCAUGGAGCAACGAUUUAAACACCUUGAUAUAGGGCUCCAUUCCUAAGCAGCUCAUGAAUAUCAGAAAAGUUGUUGUUAAGUAUAUAUGUUGUGUUUGUCUUGUACAGGCCCAGGCCCAUAGUCUAGAGUGAGGCCCAGGCCCAUGUAACCUUGUAUAUCUCUCUCCUCAAUACAGAAAACUGUUUGGUCAUUCUCUCUUCCUCACAUUUCCUACCAUGAUAUCAGACCAGGACCAAACCCUAGUCCCUCUUCUAGCCGCCACCCAUGAAAUCGCCGCCGGUGAGGUGAUUCAGGCGGAUCUGUCUGGUGAGGAGACAUCCACAUCGCUGCCCCAUCCCAUCUUCGUCAUCAACCUGUAGGAGCUGCUCUCCAGCAGCUCCUCUGUGUUUCCUCACAGCUACUCUGUGAGAAUACUUCCCCUGCUCUCCAGCAGCCAUCUCCAGCAAGCUCUUGGUGCCUUCCCUGCUCUACAGCAAGCUCCAGGCGUUCCCCCUUCUAUCCAGCAAGAUCCAGCAAGCUCCUCCUAUCCAGUGAGAUCCAGCUCCUGUUUGUGGCUGUCUGCUGCUCUUCUCUUGUUGCUGCCUGCAGCUGCUAUCAGAUUGGGUGUUUCCAGCUGCUGGCCACUCACCACUAUGGCAAGAAAUGAUUUCGGAUUUGGUUCUGUGAUCAUAGAUAUCAAGCUUGAUGGUUCAAACUACAGGGAAUAGGCAUUUUCUACCCGAACUGUCUUGAGGAUGGCUGGUUUUGUUUCUCAUCUGACAGAUGAUCCACCUAGUCCAAAUGAUGAUGCAGCAAGGAAGUAUUGGCAAAAGAUCGAUGAUCGUGUGAUGGGAGUUUUAAUUCUGGGUGUUGAACCCUCACUCCGAAUGAGUCUUGAGCAUCACACUUCAGACCAGCAGUGCACUUCAUUUCUCGUUGUUGCAGAAUUUACACAACACUCGGUAGCCAGAAGACAUGUUCAUAGAAGAGUACUAUGGAGCUUUCCCUCGCAUCACUGGGCAGCUAGGUUCCAUGGUUCCAAAGGGUAAUUCUGGUUGUGAGUCAUGUGCAGCGAAGGAAAAGUAUGACCAUCAGACUCUCAUGUUUCAGUUUGUGAUGGGUCUCAAGCCAGACUUUGAGAACAUUCGCACUCAAUUGCUUGGUCGUACGACUCAUCCUACCUUGACAAAGGCACUUGCUAGCUUGAUCGCUGAGGAGACUCGUCUCCGUUCUCUUGGGGCUACUUCUGCGCAGACUCUACACACUAGUGUUCUGGCUUUUCCUCAGCAGCCAGGUGCCUCCAAGGCCACACCUUCAGCUGUCGUAUGCUCGUUCUGCAAGAAGGCAGGACACCACAGAGAUGGUUGUUUUAAGCUUCAUUCAGAGCUGUUAGCUGAGUUUCAGGCUAGACGGGCCCUCAAUCAGCAGCGUCGUGCACCCCAGGCUCCUUAUCAGCAGCAAGUGAGGGGUGCUUCUGCAUCUGUUCUCUCUCAGCCCGCUGUUGCUGCAACCCAGCCUUGGGUUCUGGACUCUGGGGCUUCUUUCCAUGUGACCUCUGAUCGCUCUCAGCUUGUGUCUUGCCAGCCAGUGCGGGAUGGUGCCUCUGUUUAGACUGCUGAUGGUACACCUUGUUCUAUUACUCAUCAGGGUUCUCUUCGCACAUCCAAGUUUUUUGUUCCUGCCAUCUCCUUUGCUCCAGAGUUGUCCAUGAAUCUUAUGUCUGUUGGCCAGCUUGCUGAUAUGAACUAUUUUGUUGGUUCUGAUGACUCAUUUUGUUAUGUGCAGGACCGUCAGAGCAAGAGGGUCAUUGGAACUAGCCAUCGCCGUAGAGGAUCCACAUCCCUCUACAUCCUUGACACCUUACACCUUCCUUCAGCUUCCACCACAUCCGCGUUCCGGAUGGCUGCAUCAACAUCAAGAUCCACUUCGCCGUUUUCUUUUGCCCAGUGGCACCAUCGCUUAGGUCACUUGUGUGAUUCUCGUUUAUCUACCCUUGUUCGACAAGGUGUUUUGGGUCAUGUUUCCAUAGAUGCUGGUUUUCACCGUAAGGGUUGUAAGCUAGGGAAACAAAUACAGCUUCCAUACUCUUCCAGCACUACUCAUUCUAGUCAUCCUUUUGAUUUAGUGCACUCUGAUGUAUGGGGUCCUUCCCCCUUUGUUUCGAAAGGUGGCCACAAACAUUAUGUCAUAUUUGUUGAUGAUCACUCUCGACAUACUUGGGUCUAUUUUAUGAAGCAUCGUUCUGAGUUGUUUUCUAUAUAUAAGGCUUUUGUACAUAUGGUCCAUACUCAGUUUUCCAGUGUUGUUCGUGUUUUUCGUUCUGACUCCGAGGGGAGUAUCUAUCUACUGCUUUUCGUGAGUUUCUCUCAUCUGAGGGUACUCUCCCUCAGCUUUCAUGCCCUGGUGCCCAUGCUCAGAAUGGCGUUGCUGAGCGUAAGCAUCGCCAUAUUGUUGAGACAGCAAAUACCCUUCUGAUUUCUUCCUUUGUCCCCACUCAUUUUUAGGGUGAAGCUAUCUCAACUACUGUUUAUCUAAUCAAUCUCCAACCUUCUACUCGCCUUGAGGGCAAGUGUCCUGGUGAGGUUUUGUCUGGUUCUCCUCCCACGUAUGACCACCUCCAUGUCUUUGGUUGUACUUGUUAUGUUCUUUUAGCACCUCGUGAGCGUACCAAGUUGACUGCUCAGUCUGCUCAAUGUGUCUUCCUUGGAUAUAGUCUUGAACAUAAGGGCUACCAUUGCAAUGAUUCUUCUGCUCACCGCAUUCACUUUUCUCGCGAUGUCACUUUUGUUGAGGAUCAACCCUUCUUCUAUUCCCCUUCCACUAACCCAUCAUCCUCAACUUCUUUAGAGUCUACCUCGUUUCUUUCACUUCCACCUAUCUUUUUAGACGAGUCCAUAGCUGAACAACCUUCCUCUGUCCUAACAUCAGAACCAUCUCCACCACAUGUUUCAUCUCCUUCCUCACCAGCUCCUUUCUCUUCCACUAGCUCCACCUCUAGAUAGUCUUCCUUUCCAUUACACUCGUCGUUAUUCUACUACUCCAGCCAGUACUUUCCAUUACACUCGUCGUUCUAAAGCUCCAUGUGACACGCAGUCAUCUAUGCCUUUGUCUUCUACUCCUCCAGCCAGUACUACUGAUCCUUGCACUAACGGCUCUUCUCUAGCAACGCGAUACAAAAAGGACUUGUAUGCAGGGGCUAUUUCUAAGCCUAGUACCUAUCAGGAGGCAGUUGUGUCACCUGAGUGGCAACUGGCUAUGUCUGAGGAGCUUGCAGCCUUAGAGAGUACUGGUACAUGGGAUUUGGUACCAUUACCUCCUAGUUCAAUCCCUAUCACUUACAAAUGGGUGUAUAAGGUUAAAACCAAGUCAAACGGUUAUGUGGAACGCUGCAAGGCUCGCCUUGUUGCAAGAGGUUUUCAGCAGUAUCAUGGGAAAGAUUAUGAUGAGACGUUCCCUCCUGUUGCUCACAUGACUUCAGUUCAAACUCCAAUUGUUGUGGCUGCUACUCAGUCAUGGAAAAUUUCCCACAUGGAUGUGAAGAAUGCCUUCCUUCAUGGUGAUUUACAUGAGGAAGUUUAUAUGCAGCCACCUCCAGGUAUCAAGGUUCCAUCAGGUCAUGUUUGCCGUCUUCAAAAGGCUCUUUAUGGGCUUAAGCAAGCCCCUCGUGCCUGGUUUGAGGGGUUCAGUUCUGUGAUUCAAGCUGCCGGUUUUUCUCCUAGUGAACAUGACCCUGCACUCUUCAUUCAUACAUCUGAGCAUGGUCGUACAUUGCUUCUACUUUAUGUAGAUGACAUGUUGAUCACUGGAGAUGUUGUUGGGUAUAUUGAUUUUGUUAAGAAAAAAAUGAGUGAACAAUUCAAGAUGUCAGAUUUGGGGUCUCUCAGCUAUUUUCUCGGGAUUGAGGUCGAGCACACCAAUGAUGGUUACUAUAUCUCCCAGCAAAAGUACACUCAGGAUUUGAUUCUUCGCUCAGGUCUCACUGACACACACAUUGCUGCUACACCUAUGGAGCUUCAUCUGCAGUUGCGUCCUACUGAUGACACUCCUCUUGAGGAUCCAUCUCGCUAUCGUCACAUUGUCGGCAGUCUAGUGUACCUCACAGUGACCAGACCUGACAUCGCACAUGCAGUCCAUAUUCUCAGUCAAUUUGUUUGUGCUCCUACCUCAGUUCAUCAUGGUCACCUAUUCCGAGUCCUUAGGUAUUUAAGGGGAACUACAUCUCGCCGCUUGUUCUAUGCUAAUUCCAGUCAGCUAGCUCCAGCUACAUGCUUACUCUGAUUCCACUUGGGCGAGUGAUCCUAUUGAUCGUCGCUCGGUCACUGGCUAUUGCAUAUUUCUUGGUACAUCUCUCAUUGCAUGGAAAUCAAAGAAGCAAACUGUUGUGUCUCGCUCCAGCGCCAAGGCAGAGCUUAGGGCUCUCUCUACUACUACAGCAGAGAUUGUAUGGCUUCGCUGGCUAUUGGAUGAUCUUGGUGUCUUAUGUCAUACACCAAUACCUCUUCUUUGUGACAGCACUGCUACUAUUCACAUUGCUAAUGAUCCAGUCAAGCAUGAGUUGACCAAACACAUUGGUGUGGAUGCCUUUUUCACUCGAUCUCAUUGUCAACAAUCCACUGUCAAGCUACAAUAUGUCCCAUCAGAGCUUCAAGUCGCAGAUUUCUUCACCAAGGCACAAACUAGAGAUCAGCAUAGGUUUCACACUCUCAAACUUGGUGUAUCAGAUGCUCCUGACCCACCUUAAGUUUGAAGGGGGGUGUUAAGUAUAUAUGUUGUGUUUGUCUUGUACAGGCCCAGGCCCAUAGUCUAGAGUGAGGCCCAGGCCUAUGUAACCUUGUAUAUCUCUCUCUCCUCCUCAAUACAGAAAACUGUUCAGUCAUUCUCUCUUCCUCGCGUUUCCUAAUAGUUGUCACCACCACCCUACAUGUAUAGGGCUCCAUUCCUAGGCAGCUCAUGAGUAUCAGAAAAGUUGUCACCACCACCCUACAGGGUACCUCCCCAACUGCACUAUACCCGCGUACAUAAAUGAAGAUGUAUAAACCAUGGAUAUAACUAAUAUUUGCUGUAUAAAGCAUAGCUCAUUUUAGGCCUUCUUUGGUUUACAGGAAUUUUAAAGGAUAGGAAUUUUGUAGGAAAGACACUUUGGAGCCCUUUGGUUUGUAGGAAUGGAUUCCUAUUACUAUGUAGGAUAGGAACCAAUUCUUCACAUUUCAAAGGACAAAAAACAUUAGCCUAGACUAAAUGGAAAAAUUCCUAUCCUAUGCAUCAAAUGACAUGUCUUUCCAUAUAGGAAUUGAGAUACAUGUCAUCUCACUUCCUAUGAUUUUCCUAUUCCUAUGAUAUUCCUAUCCAAUGAACCAAAGGAGACCUUAGGGUUGUGCUACAAUCUUGUGUGCAACUGUCCAUACUGACCAUCUGAUGAACAAAACAGAAUAAACUAAACAGAACGCAAGGUAUCGAUGAGGAUGUUAGCCACAUAAUCAAAGCGGUGUGGAUGAAGUGGCGGCAAGCAUCUGGCAUGCUCUUUGACAAGAAGGCCCCACAAAAGCUAAAAGGAAAGUUCUAUAGGAUGGCGAUCAGACCUGCAGUGCUAUAUGGAGCAGAGUGUUGGCCUACUAAGAGACAAUACAUCCAACAAAUGAGUGUCACUGAGAUGCGCAUGCUAAGGUGGAUGUGUGACCAUACAAUAAAGGACCGAAUCAGGAACGAGGGAAUAGGCAAUAAGGUAGGGACGGCACCAAUUGAAGAGAAGAUUGUCAAACACCGAGUAAGGUGGUUUGGACAUAUCCAAUGGAGGCCUGCAGAAACACCAGUGAAUAGCGGUAUUCUAAAACGUAGCAAAAAUGCUAGGAGGGUAUGGGGCAACCGAAGUUGACAUGGGAGGAGGCUGUAAAGAGAGACUUUAAGGUUUAGAAUGUACUCAACGUUCUUAUAUUAUGGGACGGAGGGAGUACCUAGGAAUUUGGCUCUUGACAGGACUGUAGUCAGCAAUCCAUGUACCAGAACCUUAGUUUACUUUCCUUCACUUUGUUUACUUGUAUUUUCUCCCUUCUCUUUUAGGUUCUCACAGGUUUCUGUUGGAUUUCAUCUCUAGCCUACCCCAACUUGCUUGGGACAGAAGGCUUCAUUGUUAGAAUGCAAGGAUGGCUCUAUACUGGCAAAGUGGCAACCCAUUCCCACGACAUUCACUAUGGGGGCAGGGAUGGAACUACAGGAGGAAAGUUGCACUCGGUAGCUACGGAUGGCAAUUGGAAAGUCACCCGUCAUGGGGACUAACCUAGUAACCAACAUUAACUUAUACAGAAGUCAGCUGCAUAAUUGAGUCAUAUGACAUUAUUAGGUAAGAAAUGAUUCAAGUAAAUAUAAAUAAGAAGAUACCUUGCUACAUCAUUCGAGGAGCUUAAAUUUUUUACCACACUGGCCAGUAAGCUUUCACGGUGGUUAAAGUGUGGGGCAGCAUCUAAUAAACUACACAAGCAACGAACUGCCACAAGAUAAAAAUAGGGUUGCUUCUCCAAUGAUAUCAAUUUCUGCAGGUAUGCCUGGAAGUGCACAGAAAGGAAACAGAAAACGAAUUUCAGCAAUCAAAAAACAUCUAGAAAUAUCUUGACCAUCAAAUGGAAGGUGCAGCAAAUAAAUAUUUGUAUGAAGAAAGCCAAAGCAAGUGAUGAGCCACUGGAAAAUUGUUCAUGAUCACAUAAUUCAUAACCAAAUGACUUCUUGUCACAAAGUAUUUAGGGUAUGAAGCAGAAUUCAGAAUAAAACCUUGUAGGAACGAAUAAGCGUGUACUCAUAAUAUCUCGUCUUCUUCACUUCUUUCGAAACUUCUACGGCAAGCUCUUUUUCUGUCAGCUGCCUAAUCCGAUAACUGCAGAAGAAGAUCAAAGCACAUAUAAUAUAAGUCACCUGGGAAACACUGUAGCAGUGGCUAUAGUAAAAAUGAACUGUCAUGUCAUGUACCUAGGAAUUAUGUCCCUGAACACAGCAAGCAAGGACAUUAUAGCAAGUUUAACAACCCUUUGGUCUGUGUCGUUGCAUAUAAUUAAUAAAUCAUUCAGAGAUCUAAUGUUUGAUUCAGGAUCUUCAAGCAUGGCCAUGCCUAAUUCAGCAAGCUGGGCCUUCUUUUUCUCAAACAAUUCAUCAGCUGAAAGUUCUUCCUUCACCUCUUCCUGCCAAUCAGAGUAUACAGGAAAAAUCACUGUUUGCAUAGUAAAAAUAUAUAGCAGUUCUGUAUAAGAUACAAAAGGUUUCAAUUAUGAACAAAUGAGCUGGAUUCUAUCGCUGUAAAUGACCUGACAUUUGAUAAACAGUUUUAUAACUUGUCUGUUUGCUUUCAUUGACACUUUUCAGGUAUAUACAAGCUCUACAACAGAUAUCCAUAUUUUCAUCUAUAAUUCAUGCUGAAUUGCUGAUGAUGCAUUAACUCAUUUUGAUUUUGCUCAAAAUUUCUCACUUACCACAUUCUAGCAUUCAGCUUUGUAUGUUAAAAUUAGAACAGCUACAGGCCAUGACACUUAAUUUAGCUAUCCUGCAAUAUGUUGACAAUGUCUAAGAUACUUCGAUAUUUGCAGUCAAACAUGGCUAGGUAAUUUGCAUUCACGGUAUUAAGCAGUAUGAGUUUUUAUUUUUAAGCUUUUGCAAAAAGAGAUCAUUUGAAAAAUGUGCUUCAGACUAAUGCAAAAAGAAGAACAGAAGUAGUACCAACACUACUGAGUGCAGUUUCUCCUUCGGAAUUUCAAGUGGACGCUGCACAUUCUGCAAUUUACUAUCUUCCUUUUUGUUGGAUCUUCCCUUACAUUCCUUUUGAGAACUUUGCUUGGCAUCAGCAUCUUUGUCAUCAGAUUUGGAUUCAGCACCCUUAGCUUUGUCUUCAGACCUUGCUCUCUUGGCUGCAUGUCAUGACAUAAAUGUUACAUGAGUAGGGUAACACUAACAACAAUUCAUAAUCACAAACUUACUUAAACUCAUAUCGUAACACAUGCUACACUUCUAGAAAACUUCUUUAUGCUUUUGACUUAUUUCGGUUCCGUUAUGUUGCAGAAUUUUUUAAUGUUUUUUACUUGUUUUCUGUCUAAUUGGACAAGGUUUUAUCAUGAUCUUUUAGUUCUGAUGGAACAUAGUAGUUACAGGGGCAUCAUAAAAUCAGUAAUUCCAGUAUCAAAAAGAUUCAUGCGUGUCAUUCAUUUUAACAAGAGAAAAUAUGGAGACAAAUAAAUGACCACAAUAGUAUCGACUCAUGUGAUUCUGAAUUACUGCCAGCCCUUCCCCUGAUUAAUGUAAGUUGCAUGUAGAACUUUAAGUCAUGCCUGUCCAUUUGGAUCAGCAACAGUGUCCUGUAUGCUUGCUCUGCAAAUGGCAAUACGGCAACACGGAAUGACCGCUCUAGAGCGCAUGUCAUUAUUCUGGGAUCAAAAGGGCACACCAGGCUCUGUAAAUGGAGCCAGAUAAGCUUGGCACAACUUAGAUUGCGAGUACACAGCAACUUUACUUAGUUUAAGCAAUGUCUAAAACGAUCUUGUUAAGUCAUGGACCAACAACAAUAGGAUAAGUUGUAAGACUUUAUUAAAUUCAUGGACCGAGAACAAUGGAAGCCAUUGGUGGUACAUUUCCUAGGGGUUUUUUCUUCGUCCGCAUGUAUUGGGUGUGUUUGCCAAGUGUCUGCGGUAGUCUGUUCCUACUGACUGCAACAAACAAACUUAGUAGAAACUCAGAGCCAAAAUGAUUUCAUUUGCUAAUAUAUCUAUAGCAUUUGAUAUGCGGUUCUCCAAAGCCUUGUGCAACUAGCAAGUGCUCCUAUACCAUAUUCACUAGACUAACUCAACCGGCUCUGCUGAACCAAAUAUAACUGGGCAUGCAUGAUUUUACCGGUUCUGUAGAGCAGCUCCCCCUGCAGAGUCUUGACAGGGAGCGCGUCAACGGGAUCCACCUCGAGGUCAUCGUCGUCCUUGGGUUUCAGGGCUAGGGCAGCCCUCCUCUUGCGCUCGCGCUCCUCGUAGAGGAGCUCGACCUUGUCCUCGUCGUGGUCGGGGACCCUGGUGACGACUUUGUCGAGGGCCUUCCUGUUGAGCCCGGUGAUCAGGUGGACGUGCUCUCUAUUCUCCUCGACGAAAUCCACAUCCUCGUCGGAGACUAUGAUGUCCUCGUCGUCGACUUCCGGCGGCAGCGGCGGCGCGAGGAUGACCUUGUUCUUCUUGCUGCUCUUCCCCAUGGGAUACGACACAAAUCUGGAGUGGGUUGUGCUUCCCCGAAGCCGACGCUAACCUCACAAGUUUCACGGUCGCGGUAGGAGAGGGGGGUGGCCGGAGGUCCUUCCGAACGGCGAAACUUAGAUAGGCGGCGGCGGCGGCGAUGGAACGAAGGGUUUAUAUGACUUUCUCAUUUCCCUUCGAAAAACAGUGGCAUGGUUUAUUGCUGCUAGGUUUUGUGCGGGACCUUGGGCUUGGGCCAUAGAAGUUUGGUGGAGGCGUGGACAGAACCGCGCGCACCAGGCCCGAACAAGCCCACAUUCAUACUUUGUUUUUACGCGAAACUUAGGGGUCUUUGUACGAGAUUGUCGUGGGAGGAACAAAAAUUUAACACAGACACAUCUCACUCUGUGCAUUUGAAAAUCAAACCGAAAAAUCAUACCAAAAAUAAACCGAAACGAACAAAUUUUUUGGUUUUUAUGGUUUCUGGUUUCGGUAUGGUAUAAACUUUUCAUACCGAUUUGAACUUUGGUUUUUAUGGUAUAUACCGAAAAACCAAAUGCUUAACCGAAUAAACCAAAGUAAAAAAUAAUUUUAUAUUUCUUGUGAUGAACAACCAUGCAAGUUGUCAUUUUUCUUGUACAUGAGUCAAAUUCACUACUAAGCACCUUAUUUUUUCUUGUAACGUAGUCAUUUUUCUUUUUUUUUAAAUGCUAAGCACGUCCAUAACCAUCAACAGAUGAAUCAAUGCAUGCAUAUAUAUUUAUAUAUAGUUAUAUAUUGUAUUUGUGUAAAACAGUAUAUGUGUUUUGAGUCAUAAAUUUGCAAAUUAUUAUUACGUCAUUUUCAAAUUCGCGUCAACUUUGGUUAUUAUGGUAUAUACUGAAACCAUAUCGAAAUAAUUUGGUAUAUACCGAAACCGAACCGUAUUUUAAUUUCAUACCGUAUUUAUUGAAGUAUUAAUACCGUACAAACCGAACCAUGUAAACCGAAUAAACCGAACGCACACACAUCAAACAAAUUAAGCUACGGGAGAAUGGCGGCCAACCAGCAUGGCCACGUGGCGCAUGCUGGUUUGCCGUGGCAAAAAACAUUUUUAUAUUUUUUGGAAGAUGAAAUUGAAAAACUUCUUGAUUUUUUUGACAGAUGAAACUGAGACUUUUUUUGUUUUGAGAAAAGUUUUUUUAGAUUUUUUUUUAAGAUGGGAGUGAGACGUUUGUUUCUUUUUCAUUUUAAAAACGUUUUUAGGCUUUUCUUUUUCUUUUUGAGAUGGAUGUGAUGUUCACGUGUUGCGAGAAAGUUUUCUUUUUAAUUUUGAGAUGUAAUUGAGGUUUUUUCUUUGAGAAGGAGAAAUACAUGCCCAGCUUCCUUCCAAGAGGCCCGCAAUGACGGGCCCCAACCACUAGUCAUGUGUUAUUGUGUGUCGAAAAUGAAAGUGCCAUCACUUAUUCUUUGCUUGGGUGUUUGCUAAAAAACAUUUGGAAGCUCGUCUCUAGCGUACUUUGUUUUGAGAAAAGUUUUUUCAAGAUUAUUUCUUAAAGAUGACUUUUUGUUUCUUUUUCAUUGUAAGAACGUUUUUUAGGCUUUUUUGAGAUGGAUGUGAUGUUCACAUGUUGUGAUAAAUUUUUUUUGAUUUUAAAAUAAAAUUGAGGUUUUUUUUUUGAGAGGGAGAAAUACACGUACAACUUUCUCUUAAGAGGCCCGCAAUGGCAGACCCCAACCACUAGUAUCAAACACAAUAAGCUAUGCUACAAGGGCACUAUUUGAGCGUGUCCACGUGGCGAUUUACUGUGGCGAUAGAAAAAUAUCUAACUACAUAUCAUUUCCUUUUAGUAGAAGCUUGCUUUGAGUUGAUUGAUUGAUUCAUUUCCUUCCUAACGAAGGCAGCUCCGCACGUCUUCCUCUCCACCUCUCCCCCCCCCCACACGUACGCCGCCAGCCGCAGCCAUCGCCUCCUCUUCCUCCUCUUGUCUACCCAGCUAGGGCUGCUUCUACCGCCGCCGCCGCUGGCCCAUCACUCGUCUGGCGCUGCCCACCGAAGGAAGGCCCUCUUCUCCCUAGGGUCUUUGUAAUGCCCACGAUGCUGCUAUAGCUCCCACGUGUCGAGGCACGACUUAGAGACAUAACCGCAUAGUGGUUUUGUCGCAAGAAGGGUCAUCUUCACAAACAUCCCAUGUAUUGAAUAAGACAGGGAUAAAUAGAGUUGGCUUACACUCGUCACGUCACACAAUACAUAAAUAAUUCAUACAUCAUCCAAAAUACACUCAUAGACCGACUACGGUCAAAUCCGAAUAAAAGGAAGAUAAACCCCAAAUGUUAGAUCCCCGAUCGUCCCAACUGGGCUUCACUACUGAUCAUCGGGAAACGAAACAUAGUAACGACCAAGGUCCUCGUCGAACUCCCACUUGAGUUCGGUAGCAUCACCUGCACUGGAAUCAUCGGCACCUGCAACUGUUUGGAAGUAUCCGUGAGUCACGAGGACUCAGCAAUCUCACACCCACGAGAUCAAGACUAUUUAAGCUUAUGGGUUGGAUAAGGUAAUGAGAUGGAGCUGCAGCAAGCACUAAGCAAAUAUGGUGGCUAACAUACGCAAGUAAGAGUAAGAUGAGAAGCUACGCAACGGUCGUGAAGCUAGAAGUGAUCCUGAAACUACUUACGGUCAAACAUAACCCAAACCGUGUUCACUUCCCAGACUCCGCCGAAAAGAGACCAUCACAGCUACGCACACGGUUGAUUCAUUUUAAUUAAGUCAAGUGUCAAGUUCUCUACAGCCGGAUAUUAACAAAGUCUCAUCUGCCACAUAACCACGGGCACGGCUCCUGAAAGUUUAUACCCUGCAGGGGUGUCCCAACUUAGCCCAUCACAAGCUCUCAUGAUCAACGAAGGAUAUUCCUUCUCCCGAAAAGACCGGAUCAGUCUCGGAAUCCCGGUUACAAGAUAUUUCGACAAUGGUAAAACAAGACCAGCAAAGCCGCCCGAUUGUGCCGACAAAUCCCGAUAGGAGCUGCACAUAUCUCGUUCUUAGGGCACACCGGAUAGGUCAAGCUACGAAUAAAACCAACCCUCAAGUUUCCCUGAGGUGGCCCCGCAGGUUGCCCGGUUCGGACCAAUACUCAGAGGAGCACUGGCCCGGGGGGUUAAAAUAAAUAUUACUGAUGUAGGGUGGAACCCUAUACGACCGGUCUUUCACGAAAGGAGCGGAUCCCGCGAAGAACACGAAGAACACGAGGGAAAUCACAAGGGGAAACACAAGGGGAAACACGAGAGAAUCACUCAAACCAACAAGAUUAAGUCACACAUGUGCUAGAUCCUCAAAACACGAGAGGAGAUACAAGAUCCAAAGUCAACAAGGGAUGAUACAAAUGGUAACCGGUCUUCUUCGUGAGGAGGUCUUGAAUCCACAAGGGGAUCUUCCCGUAAAGGGGUCUUGAAUCCAAGGUGGAACUUCUCCAAAGAGGGGUCGCGGUCUCUCUCAAGGAGUAGAUACGAUAUGGAUGAGCGAAGCUCUAUCUCACAAAUGAGCUAACACAACGCUAACCCUCACUAGGAGGAGGUGGAGGAGUAUAUAU